This 84-nucleotide transfer RNA is filed under the name Candidatus Berkelbacteria bacterium. RNAcentral describes it as "tRNA-Leu". It matches the Rfam family "tRNA". From Rfam's summary of the family: Transfer RNA (tRNA) molecules are approximately 80 nucleotides in length. Lineage: Bacteria; Candidatus Berkelbacteria. The record is from RNAcentral.
GCCCAGGUGCUGGAAUUGGUAGACAGGUGGCGUUCAGGGCGCCAUGCCCGUCAGGGCGUGAGGGUUCGAGUCCCUCCCUGGGCA